GUCCAACGAUUUUGAAGGAUUCUAUUAGGUGAUGGAUUGUGGAUGGAUUGUGAAGGAUUUUAGGACCCUCGGUAUAAAUAGCAAACCCUUUCAGAAAUCUGCUCUACAGAGCUGAGAUUUCGACAAUAUCUCUCUCAUCGAGAAGAUGAAAAUACGAACGGCAAUCUGGAGAAGACUACCAGCCAUGUCCAGCUCUGCCGCAGUCGACGGCGUCGCAGCUACCGCGCUCCGCUCAAUUUUCUAACCCGUCUAUCUAAGCCGAAAAAUCCAGUCGUCGAGCCGACGAGAUCCGAGUGGUGGCAGUGAGCAAGACGAAUCUGGCCGUUGUCCUCUACCAAGUAUAUGACGCCGGCCACCGCUGCUUCAGCAAGAGCUACGUGCAUGGAAUCUUCGAGAAAGCUCCUCAAGUUUCUGCUCUGAGCAAGAUAAUUGAAAUAGGAUAUCAGAGUUGAUUAAUUGAGUGGAUAUCAGUCGUAAAUCUACAUGAUAACACACAUUGGAGUAUGUGGGGUGGCACCAGAAUGCUGCAACAACGAACAAAUUCUAGAUCAGCAUUUUAGAAGCUUCAGAUCUAACCCCUCCCUUAAUAAAGCCUCUAGUCGUUGAUGAGAUUAGAAUUAGGUUUAGAUAAUAUUCUUGUCAAUAAACCUAUAACCUAACAUUUGCGGGUUGUUGUGAUUCAUUGUGAGAACUUUAUUGUCAUUCUUCCUCAUGUACCUUCAGAGCCAUAUUUGACUAAAGAGCUUACUACAAGUGUUACAAUGAUGGAUAUA
Long non-coding RNA from Rosa chinensis, 773 nucleotides. RefSeq lists it as uncharacterized. NCBI's taxonomy places the organism in Eukaryota, Viridiplantae, Streptophyta, Magnoliopsida, Rosales, Rosaceae. The transcript is spliced from 2 exons. The record is from RefSeq and is a predicted model, not a curated record.